Molecule: long non-coding RNA, 9147 nt
Organism: Equus caballus (horse)
Lineage: Eukaryota; Metazoa; Chordata; Mammalia; Perissodactyla; Equidae
Source: Ensembl
AUGAGGACCAUGUAGCCCGAGGUCUUCCAUCCCCAAGGAAGGAUGAGUACCCAAGAAGUGGGGUGUACAGAGUGGUUAUAUACCCUCAAAGAGCAUGUUUCACAUAUGAAGGAAAUGUCCCCUUUACAGCAGUCACGAGACUGCUCUGUCAGCACAGCAAUGGAUGGACACAGCAAGUUGUAGGGCGCUGUCUCAGUGGACACAGCAGGGUGGCAGGUCUGUUGUCUAGAGCUGGGUGAUCACAGGAUGAGUGCAGCAAUUAGUUCCUAGCCUGAGGAGAGAUGCUUACCCUUAAGGAAAUGCAAAUGUCGGGGAAGUUGCACCUUCAUCUUAAGGGCAUUUGUUCUUGCCUUUGGGACACAGCAAAUGCUUAAGCAGAUGUACAAUGCAUGCUCAUCGGCCGCGCCAGGCCCUUUUGGAAAAACACAGUCAGGCUGAAUUAGGUUUAUACCAAAUGCUUUCCUCAUACACUCCAAUCUCCUAUUGCUUGCCAUUUAUUUGUCACAGGUCAAACCUGUCACUUCAGCCAGGCCUGCAUUCAGCAAAUCAUGAAGGUGACAAACAUCUCCCAGGACCCCUGACCACCCUCCCCUGCUCACAAGUCUGGCCCUGGGUUUGGAAGGGAUGUCAGAAGGCAAAUUGUCACCCCUGACCCCCUCCCUGGCCACCUUUGACCUCAGCCACUGCCUGGCCACGCCCAGUGACAGUUGCAACUGCCAUUGGUGGGCAGUUUAGAACUCCGCAGGGCAGGGCAGGGCCAGAGACACCAGCCCACACUGAGGGCCCAGCUGCAUGGCUUAACCAUGGACCCUGCUCAGCUGAGGCCCUCUCAUCGCUGCCCACGGGUCAGGUAGGGCCGCUGAGGGACUUGAAUGCGGUCAUGGGUGUCCAGCUGUCCUUGGAUCCUCAGGACACUGUCAGAGGUGUCACCACCAGGGACGAAAGUCCACACCACUGGGAGGAUGGCCGGCCUCCUUCCCAACAACCCUGAAUAACCUACGGGGACUGUUGCCUCCAAAUGAGGCGGACACGGGGGCUUCUUCCACCUGUAAUCCAGAGGGACUUUUCACAGCCCCAUGAGGUGGCAAGGUGGCUCACCAUGUAGAGGGCACGACACAGUGUCCAGCACCAGACAAUGCCCGGUGACCAUCCACGUGGCUCACUGAGAGUGUCCAGCUGGAGGCACAGCCGGCUGAGCAGGGCUCUGCUCUCGGGGGACGGGUCUGCCGUGUCCUCCCUGGGGUGAGUGUCGUGUGGAGGCCCCCGGGAGGGACUCUCACCCUGCCCGUGAGAGAGAACGGCUGCAGCCCCUCCAGGACUGUGGGGGCGCCUGUGCUGACCCCUUGGGUCUGCUCAGAAACCGCUUCAUCCCUGCCUGUGGGAAGUGGUGGUUCUGCCUGUGGCCGCCCCCUCUGUGGGCCUCGCACCCGGAAGCAGAGAAGGCGUCGCCCUGUAUCCCCCACUCCCAGAAGAGACGCGGAGACACUCGCUUCCUGAGCCAGAUGGUCACCCAUCCUUCUGGGCCCAGGAGGCGGCUGAGAGCUCGGCCCUGAGUCAUGCCAGCCAGGACGGAGUCCCGCAGAGGCUGUUCCCGCCCGCCACUUGUGGGGUCUGUCGUUCCGGCUCGGCCCUUAUUCCACUUGGAAGCCUGGACUUCCCUGCUGGUUUCUGCCCUCCAUUCCUGCGCAGCUGGGCCCCUCCGCAAGGAGAACAAUUGCAGUCAGUGAUGUGACUUGGGAGGUGCUGGCAAGGCCUCCCCCAUGGUGUUACUUCCCUGGGAGCUGCCGCAGUGCAGGCCCCCACAAGAGCGUGGUGUGCAUUGCUCGUCAGCGUGCUCACCACCAACACCGCCACUUCGCCCCUGAGCCUCUCUCUGCACCUGCUUCCUUCUUUUCGCAUGUUCCACAUGUUUACCAAACAAGGACAGCCUGGCCUCCCAGGGAUGGAGGCACAGGCAGCCCCUUGCUAGGCCAGGAAUGGAGACCUGGAACCAAGCAGUGCCCCUGGCAUGUUCUACUCGUGUCCACCAGCUCUGGGCGCCUUGGGAUGUUGACCACAGUGUCACGCUCCGUCUGCCUGCCCCAUCUCACUGUUGCAACCGUGCGGCCAGACUAACCUCGUAAAAAAUGCAAGAUCAGGAGACACCACUGCUCAAAGCCUCCAUGUCACACAGACACUCACAUUUGAACUCGUGUCCUGCUUGGUGGUCCCCAGGCAGGAGACAGGACGUGCAAGCGCUGAGCAGUCAGCUCGUCCCCGGGCGGAGUAACAGAUUUGUGGGGUCCACGGCCCACGAAGCACAGAGGCCAGAGGAACCCUUGACCACCUCCCAGUUUGUCCCAUUAGUCCCCUUGCUGACCCUCUCCAGACAGUGGCCCCCAGGAUGACGCACGAGCCGAUCUCCCCUGUGGCCGGAUCCUUGGAUUUUCUGUCGCCUUCUUUCUAAUCUUGCCUGUGAUUAUCCUUGGAACCCGCUGACAAACACUUAAUAGCUGUUCCUUUAAACACUGUAAAGGGUAGAUUUCCAGCCCCAGGCCACCCUUGGCACUUAGAGUGCCCUCGUAUGUUCAUCACAACCUUCAAUCUUAGAAGGUCGGAGCUUGACAAGCCUCCCUAAAUCUCCUGGCCGAGCUGUGGGACAAAGUGGAGCCCGCCUUCCUCUCAGCUGGCCCAGGGGGAAUCCGGGCUUCAGCGAAGAAUUCAAGCUGCAGGGCACAGAUCCAGCAGCUGGAGGACGGUCCAUGCACAGGCUAAAGGGAAAAGCCGCCCCUGCCUCCAGGACAGCGCCAGCGGCACGUGGACACGCAGAUCAGGGGGCAGCAAGCCCCGCGAAUGCAGCCUGCUGCCGCCUUUGUGAAUAAAGCUUCCUUGGGACACACCCUAGCCCAUGCAUCUCCACGGCGUCUCCGGCUGUCCUCACACGACCACAGCAGAGCUGACGAGUUGCAAAGGAGGCUGAAAGUGUUAACUUCUGGCCUUUGUGGAAACAGUCUGCUGACCGCUGACGUAGACCCCAGGUCCAUGGCUGCGACAAGGACUGGCAGUCUUCUUGUUUCUGAUGAUUGCCUGUGCUGCAGACGUGCAGUUCAACGACCCCCCAGCUCCUCCUACCCCAAAAGGGCAGAACUCACUCCCUCUGGUCCAACGACAGACACGGUUCUACAGAUGACCUUGCGAGAAGGCAGGAUUACGAGAAAGCACAGCUGUGACAUCACAGGUGUCUGUUUCCUCGGCUCCCACAUGCCCCUAUCCAGAAGGGGGCACUGAGAGAGGAGCAGCCUUCCCCACCGUCACAGGCACUGGCCCUCCAGCCUGGUCCCCAGCUAGCACCUGCGACUGUGCCCCAGCAUCCCCACCCCAGCCCACCUGGACGACCCCGUCGUGUUGCCCAGCAACAGCUCCAGCCCCGCUUCCCCCUAGCCCCCUUCCCGAUAGAGAUGAUGGAGAUGCUGUCAUCUAACUGCCUCACUCUUGACAACCCCCAACCCAGAGCAAAUGCCUGCCUCCUUGGUCUCUGCCCUGGGUCACCUCCCACCUGCCCAGAUGCUAUAAGGAGUCACUCCUGAGAUGCCUCCUUCUGCCCAGCUCCCCCAGAUGUGGGCUGCAGUGAGUAAUAAACCCCGAGCUUGCUGGUGACAGGUGUCUCCUGGUGGUCUUUGGCCGUGGCCUUGUUACAGGUGACGCUUUUAUCAAAGGUGUCGCCACUACACAUCCCGGGCAGCCAUUUAUCCUGUCCCUCGAGCGGCUUUCUCAUUUGCAGGCCCCACAGCGAUGCCCCACAACUCAGGCCGUUCCUGGGGCUCCCCGGGCCAGGCAACACUUCCCCGAGUCUGAGGCGGAGCCACCGUAGCAUUUUGGCUGGGAGACAGUGACCCUCCAGGACAACAUUAGGCCUCUUGGACUGACCUCAAUGUCACAGACAGAGGGACCGAGGCCUGUGGUGCCUGCACCCACAGGGGCCUCCAGCGAGUCCAGAGCCCAUCUCUCAGGGUCACUCAGAGGGAGAGCGCAGGCAGGGUGGGUCUGUCCCUGUCCUCUGCUCAGGUUGGCUCUUUGAGGGAGUCCUAGAAAUCUUAUCUAGGAAAGGAGAUGCCCGAGGGAGUGCCCACCCUGGCCCCUCCCUUUCCCCAGCCAGGGAGUUGCCCCCAGGAGCCCCGGCCAGGCCAGCAGAUGGUGCUCUGGCUCCGGUUCCCACCGGCCGGCCACGCUGGCACCCUGAUGUGGGACUUCCAGUCUCCAGAACUGUAAGCAAUCCAUGCCUGCUGUUUAUAAGCCAACAGGCUGCGGUGUUCUGUCAUAGCAGCGUGGACAGACUACAGUCCUAGAGUGGGACACACGCCUGGAGGGUCACAGGGACGCAGGACCGGCCUGGACCCCCCAGGCCCCUGCUGUAGAAUCCUCAGGCCCCCUGCCCCGAGGCUGAGCGAUGCCGCUGGGGUCUCCCCACCUGCCUGCCUGUGGGGCUUUGCCGAGCAGGCUACUGUGUCCUGUUGCUUUGAGUCAGCGAGGAUUCAUACUCCCUUCGUAAACUACCGAAAGCUUUAGUCACGCUGGGCGCAACUGGGUGUGGAGAGGCAGAUGUGCUCGGGGGGCUGGGUCCCCCCACAGGAAUGUCUGGCCCCCCCAUCCACCCCCUCCCUUCCAGCGCCCCGGAAGUCGCCCCCGGCUCUCUUUCGAGAGACCGAACCCCUCUUUGGGAAGAGGAAAAGGAUUGGACCAGCCCUCCCCAGCCCCACAGAGCGCAAAACCGUCAGACGGGGGACGUGUCACCUUGCGACCCUCUGGGCCCACCUAGGACAAGGAAAGGAGGGGAGGCAGCUGGGUGGGGCCUGACGCCAAGGGGACCUGGGCGGGGCUCCGGCGACCUGGCCCCUCCCUUCCAUGCCCAGACUGUCGCCCCGCUGGCCAGUGUUGUCCAGCCUGUCCAAGCUGGGUGUUGGAUGCCUGUCUGGGACUAAGAUGAGCAGAGCUAAGGACAGCGACACUGGCCUCCGCUCCAGGGCAUGAGGCACAAAGACAACAUAACCUACAUGACCUGCGCCUGCCUAGUGGGAGUGUCGUUGAGAAGAGACAGGACCCCUUGCGCAAUCCCGCCCCCUGUUCUCCCAAGGCGCCUUCUCUGGGGACAGAGGGUCACUCAGCUGCAAUCUGCAUCCUCAAUGCCUGGAUCCCCUGCCUCCCCCUGCCCCCGUUCCCUCCUGUCCUCACACCCCUCGCACCUGUGCUGGGUUGCCCUAGCUCCUGGAGGGCCCCUUUCUUCCUCCUUAGCUAAGCCCCUCUGGAGUAUCCCACCGAGUCCUCCCACUGUCGCUGCCUCCCUAUCACAGUCCCAGUCCCCGUCCUGGUCACAGUGCCCCAUUGCUGUCCUGGCCCUGGCUGUCCCUCCCUAGGCCCCCCAGAGCUGUCUUCUGUCCUGACCCUGCUGUCCAGUCCCCAGCCUGCAGCACAAGGGGGUGCCAGCCUGCUGCUCGGCCUCCUUGCUCUUCUGAGUCAAACCCUCCUGUGGCUUCCUCCCCACUUCAGAGCACCCACCAAGCCUGCGUCCCUCCUGCAAGGCCCCUGGGAUCCGACCUGACCCACUUCCCACCUUGCUGCUCCUCGUCCCUCCCCGUGAGACUCCAGGGAUGCAGCCCUAUCAGGCUCAGGUGUGUGCAUCUCAGGGCCCAGUGCCUGGACCGCCUUGCCUGGCACACAGCAGGUGUUGGUAAAUACUUGAUGGAUAAGUCAACACUAGGGGCUUGUUGUGCCUAAACUGGGAAAGAGUCAGUGGAAGAGCCUCUGGCAAGUUCCCUGUCUGUGGAUGGUGGCCCCUCCCCGCUGAGUAGGUCUGGUCUGGCUGUCCCCUCAGCCCAGGCAGCCCGCUGUGCCCAACACUGCCUCCAGCCGGGAGGGCCUGGUAUCUCCGAUUCCCUAAAUGGAUCAGUCCUGAAAAGUGACUCGGGGGGCUGCUCCUUGGGGGAAGACACCCUAAGGGGGGCACAAAGGCAGGGAGUGAGGACACAGCAGGCUGGCGAGCCCAUGCUCCUCCAGUCCGAGCCCCAAGGACCCAGGGCCUCUGCGAGGGAGGGUCCCUUGGACCAGCCACAUGCAUAUUCCCAGAGCUGGACCUUGGCUCCCAAGGCUGGAGGCGGAGGGCAGGGCCAGCUGGGAGAGGGCUGGACGUGCCAGCAGCCUCAGAGGUCAUGGCCACCUCCUGGAGACUGGACUGCUUUUCCUCACUGUCCCAAGUGUGCUUGGACAGGUGGAGGCGGAGGGUCUGGCUCUCCAGGGUCACUCACAGCUCAGGGCUCUCUUCCAAGGUGCCACCUCUUCACAGUGACACAGGAAUGCCUGCUUUUCAGGAAGCCCUUCCCUACGCACGGUGUUAGAAUUGGGGGCCAGACUUCAUGCCCCACGGUUUCUGUGGGUGCUGGAAGGAGAAAGAUGCAGGGCGGGGGUCUCUGACAUGGUGUCCCUCCCUCCCCGUAACGGCUCUUACGGCAGCACCACAGAAUCCCCAGGACCCGUCGGGGGCAGAGGAGUGAUGUGGUCAGAUGUGAGGCAGGGAGUGGGCGGGGCUGGAGGGGGCUUGGGCUCCGGGUCCAGUCUGGUCAGUGACAGCCCUGCUCCUGCCUGGGUUUCUGAGUUUCUGAGCAGGAAGGGUGCUUCCUUUUGGGGCCUGUUUCCAGACUUUGAUUUCUUGAGGAAAAUCCUGGUGACUAGCCAAGUGUGGAGAACACUGACGGAGGCCACAAAAGGCUGGAGACUGUGGGUGGCUGCAGGGAGAUGUGAAGUGGGAGGAGAAGGGGCUCUCCCCGCCCCGGGUUACGGAGGGGACCUCUUUGAUCCUCUUUAGGAGCCCAAGUUAAAAAAGUUUUUUAGAGGAAUUCCUUUAAAGUUAUUUAGUGGCUAUGUCUUGUUAAAUGUGACACCCUGCAGCCCUGGGAUCUGUUUCGGUUACAUUUGCAAUGGUUUUAAUGGCUUGAAGAGACAUCCUGAAACUUCCAGUAGAUUUUGGUGUCUAAUCAUAAUCUACAGGUGACAGAAAAAAUAAUGUCUUGAUUUUCUUUAACAUCUCUCCCCAAUACUUGCCCUGGUGCUCAGAGGGUCCCUCCUUUCCUGAGCAUCUUAAUGGGUGGAGGCUAGAGGUUGGAGGUCAACCUGGGUCACUCCUCAUCGAGCUUGAGGGCUGGGGUGCCGGGACACACUGACAAAGGUCUACCACCUGAGAGGCUGGCAUCGCCUGGGGGCAGGCAUAGCAGAGCUUUGGAGAAAAGAUCCGCAUGGUGGUGCUCCUUUAACUUCGUGGUUCAAUUCUACUUGCUGGGGGAUAGCCCCAUCCCCGGGACCCAUAAACUGUCAGAGACAGCAUCAAAUCACGCUAAGAUGAAGCGGCUGUUUCUGGUGGAUACUGUGGAGGAAGGGAGUGAGUUUUGCAUCGGGGGGACUCAGGGCUCCCUGGGCAGCAUGCUGUAGGGCCGUGCGCGGGCCCCUCCUGCCGUGCUCUCCUCAGCUGCCUCCCCCCAGGCGCCCAGGUUGGGUCACCACGCACAGGAGAGCCCCACAUCUAUCCCUGGAAAGGCCGGGGCAUGGCGAGGACGGCCCCCACAUCUUCCUGGAACUCCAUGGCCGUGGAAGAGUAGCCGACAGCAUCCUGGCAGCAGCUGGCGUUGGCCGUGUGAGAAUCAGGCUGUCUGACGGUGACCACCCUCUGGAUGGUGGGGCAGGCCAAAUUUGUCCAUUGGGCCACGAGCUUGGCCAAGAAGGCGACGUGCAGUGGGAGGAAACAGACCGUGAAGGUGGCCAGGUUGGCCGCCACCAUGCAGAGGGCCUUGAGAUGUGGGCUGUGGCUUGGGGCAGCGCCUGUGUUCCCUCACGGAGGAGAUGCCCGAGCACCUGCCCCACACAGAAGCUCAGGAGGAGCCGUGGGAGGAAGAGGAGCUGGGAGAAGCCCUGCCUGAAGGGUGGGGCUCUGCCCGAAGCAGAAGCUGUCUGCUUGUGCGGACGUGGACAGGGCCACCGCCCUGAGGACCAGAAGGUGGGGGCGGCCUGCAGGGGAAGGUGCAGGGUGGAGCCGCGGUCCCCAGCGAUGGCUGGGAUGAGGCACAUGCUCACGGAGGUGCUGAGGUAGUAGGAGCUCUUCGAGACCUGCACAGGCGCCCUCCAGUGUGCUGGACCCCCAGCAGGCUCAGCAGCAGCAGGCAGUCGGCCGCCACCAGGUUGGCCAUGUAGAUGCGGUCCUCCGUCCACCUGCGCAGGCAGCAACAGAAGACGCAGGGCGCCAGGCCGUUGAGUUGCAGGCCCAGCACCAGGAUGAGGCCGAUGGAGCCACUGGUCACCACCUGUGACAGGACACUCCUGUCCAUGCUGCAGCUGUUCGAGCUGUUCCUGGGGACAGCAGCCACAGACACAGUGGCUCAAGCCUGAGACAGGGUGGAAGAUGGUGGGAGCCUCUGCCAGAUGGGAAUGACAGGGAACACCAGCAGGACUGACCUUGGGAAGCUGGCCAGGCUGACCUGCAGGAGGAAGGAAGCCAGAGAAAACCGGCUUGUCCCUGGGCUGAGGAAGACCUGGAGGAGAGAGGGGCACGAGCGUUGUACUUCCUCCCCGUGAACGCCUGUGAAGCUGCGAGGAGCAGGGCAAUGCCCAGGUGCCCUGGGGACACGGGGCUGGGGCUGGGAGACGCCCUUGCUGCAGGGGACAGGAUGCAGACAGCCCCAGAGAGAUAGGAGGCGAAUGCACGCUUUCCCAGAUGCCUCUUCCUUGUCAACUCCUGGCGAGCCCGGUCCUGAUCAGUGUGCCAGGCUGCUCCUAAGCCCUCUGGGGGGUCUGUGGACAGUCUCCUGCUAGGAAGAGGCUCUUCCACUUGGCUUGGCCUGGCCCAGAGUGCUCGGGGGCGGUUGGAGCUGAGUCCCAGGCCAUAUUCUGUCUGUCUCCCUGGAUCCCCAUUCUGGCCAAGAUCAGGACUAGACGUCUACACUCAGCCCGGCUCCACUGGUCAGUCCAAGAGUAUCAAAGUGCUGGAAAGGUCCGGCUCAGCUGAAGAAGCCUGCGGCAGGGCUGCUUCCAGCAGUGGGCAGAAGCCCUGGGGAGGCCCAGGUGCUGCCCGGGCCAGGGGAGCCGCCUGACUGAGGGGAAGGUGAGGCCUCCAGAGCCCCCAAGGAAUGC